UACGGAGGGGGCUAGCGUUGUUCGGAAUUACUGGGCGUAAAGCGCACGUAGGCGGACUGUUAAGUCGGGGGUGAAAUCCCUCGGCUCAACCGAGGAACUGCAUCCGAUACUGGCGGGCUUGAAUCCGGGAGAGGGAUGUGGAAUUCCAGGUGUAGCGGUGAAAUGCGUAGAUAUCUGGAGGAACACCGGUGGCGAAAGGCGGCAUCCUGGACCGGUAUUGGACGCUGAGGCGCGAAAGCUAGGGGAGCAAACGGGAUUAAGAA
RNAcentral lists this ribosomal RNA (263 nucleotides) under uncultured bacterium. RNAcentral's name for it is "partial 16S ribosomal RNA". It matches the Rfam family "Bacterial small subunit ribosomal RNA", at positions 524 to 784 of the family's 1533-position model. The record is from RNAcentral.